This 1043-nucleotide long non-coding RNA is filed under the name Ananas comosus (pineapple). Its description in RNAcentral is "long non-coding RNA (ACOM_LNC024239)". The record is from RNAcentral. Lineage: Eukaryota; Viridiplantae; Streptophyta; Magnoliopsida; Poales; Bromeliaceae.
GUGGAUUAUGAGACUCAUGAGAAUUAUCUAGAUGAUCGAUAAUUUUUAUUGGGUUAUGUUGGAAUUGUUCUGAUCCACUAAAAGUAGUUUCAGUGAUAUUGUUGAUAAUGAUCAGAAUAUAUCUCACCAUUAGAUAGAAUAGAAUCUAUGGAGUCACACACAUAAGAGAUUAUGACUGAUUGGAUAGCUAGAUAGCAAUUUUUGAACCGCCGAAGGACUUAAUUGUCAAUAUGUUGAUAAUUGGACUAAUUUGUAAUUAUUACAAAUUAGUGGUAUCAAAGUAUAAAUGUUAGAAGAGAGGACUUACUAACGAUUAGUAAAUUAUGAGAGUACUUAUAUGCAAAUGUUGCAUUAAUAAUUUGUUAUGAUCAAAUUAGGAUAAAGUUCAAGUCGAAUCAAAUUAUCUAACUAAUUAAAGAAAUGAUAAAUUAAAAUCUAGAUUUGAACUUAUUCUUAAAGGUUAUUAUAUUAUUAAAAUGAGGAAUUAUAUCCCUCUAUAUAAUAUACUGGAGUUUUUAAAAAUUCGUAGCCAUUAUCUCUCUUACUCUCUCUUUCCUUCUCUCUUUUUCUCUAGCAAGAAAGUCAUUCUUUGUAAGGGAGCUAGCUAGCACCCCGGUGAGGAUAUCGAUCAAAUCACCAACCUCGUGUGAAUACCUAUAGAGGCCGAAUGUAUAUGCGGCUUCAAGAGAAUCUAAUUUCACGAUCAUCAAAUUGCGGUAAAAUUCUACCCGCACAAAGGUGAAAAUUGAAUCUUCUUUUUCUCCUUUAAUCUUAAAGAACAUGAGGGAUCCUAAUUGCGUGAUAUUUUUGAGAUCGGAUCUCGAGCUUUAAAAAUCAAAUUUGUUUGAUUUUUUUUUCCGCUGUGCUUAUUCGCUCGCAAUUUUCUAACAUAGAAUAUAUCUCUAAUUAGCUUUCCAAUUUAAAAAUGAGAUUAAUCCUAAUCCAAUUAGGCAACAUAAUAACUGUUGAAUCAAGCCCGAUCAUGGGCGCAACCGAUUUGGUUUAACCGAAUGCCAACGGUAUGCAACCCCUCAAAUAAGAAG